Non-coding RNA from Plasmodium berghei, 821 nucleotides. The record is from Rfam. NCBI's taxonomy places the organism in Eukaryota, Apicomplexa, Aconoidasida, Haemosporida, Plasmodiidae.
CUACGGAAAAGCUGUAGCUAAUACUUGCUUUAAGUGCUUUUUACUUCUUGGAGUAAUUAGCAUGUAUUUGUUAAGCCUUAUAAGAAAAAUUUUUAAUUAAAGGAAUUAUAACAAAGAAGUAACACAUAAUAUAUUUACUAUAUUUAGUGUGUAUCAAUCGAGUUUCUGACCUAUCAGCUUUUGAUGUUAGGGUAUUGGCCUAACAUGGCUAUGACGGGUAACGGGGAAUUAGAGUUCGAUUCCGGAGAGGGAGCCUGAGAAAUAGCUACCACAUCUAAGGAAGGCAGCAGGCGCGUAAAUUACCCAAUUCUAAAUAAGAGAGGUAGUGACAAGAAAUAACAAUAUAAGGCCAAAUUUUGGUUUUAUAAUUGGAAUGAUGGGAAUUUAAAACCUUCCCAAAAAUCAAUUGGAGGGCAAGUCUGGUGCCAGCAGCCGCGGUAAUUCCAGCUCCAAUAGCGUAUAUUAAAAUUGUUGCAGUUAAAACGCUCGUAGUUGAACUUCAAGGGUAUAAUUAUUUUAAGCAACUCACUUGGAAAGAAUCAUGACUUCUGUCACUGCUUUUAUCCUUGUUGCAGUUCUUUUAAUACAGGGCCCUUUGAGAGCCCAUUAAUUUAUGACUGGGUUUCUCGUUACUUUGAGUAAAUUAGAGUGUUUAAAGCAAACAGAUAAAGCGUAUUUUACUGUGUUUGAAUACUAUAGCAUGGAAUAACAACAUUGAAUAGGUCAAAAGUUUUUGAAAAAUUUUUCUUAUUUUGGCUUAGAUACAGUUAAUAGGAGUAGCUUGGGGGCAUUUGUAUUCAGAUGUCAGAGGUGAAAUUCUU